RNAcentral lists this ribosomal RNA (748 nucleotides) under Salmonella enterica subsp. enterica serovar Infantis. Its description in RNAcentral is "partial 23S ribosomal RNA". It matches the Rfam family "Bacterial large subunit ribosomal RNA", at positions 711 to 1374 of the family's 2925-position model. Lineage: Bacteria; Pseudomonadati; Pseudomonadota; Gammaproteobacteria; Enterobacterales; Enterobacteriaceae. RNAcentral also lists the same sequence under 1 other name. The record is from RNAcentral.
AGACCCGAAACCCGGUGAUCUAGCCAUGGGCAGGUUGAAGGUUGGGUAACACUAACUGGAGGACCGAACCGACUAAUGUUGAAAAAUUAGCGGAUGACCUGUGGCUGGGGGUGAAAGGCCAAUCAAACCGGGAGAUAGCUGGUUCUCCCCGAAAGCUAUUUAGGUAGCGCCUCGUGAAUUCAUCUCCGGGGGUAGAGCACUGUUUCGGCUAGGGGGCCAUCCCGGCUUACCAACCCGAUGCAAACUGCGAAUACCGGAGAAUGUUAUCACGGGAGACACACGGCGGGUGCUAACGUCCGUCGUGAAGAGGGAAACAACCCAGACCGCCAGCUAAGGUCCCAAAGUCAUGGUUAAGUGGGAAACGAUGUGGGAAGGCCCAGACAGCCAGGAUGUUGGCUUAGAAGCAGCCAUCAUUUAAAGAAAGCGUAAUAGCUCACUGGUCGAGUCGGCCUGCGCGGAAGAUGUAACGGGGCUAAACCAUGCACCGAAGCUGCGGCAGCGAACGUAUCACUUAAAGCGAUUCAGCGGGUUACGAUUGACGGAGCGAAGCGACGUCAAAGCGUAUACAAAGUCGAGUCGGUUUAAGGAUACGUUCGUUGGGUAGGGGAGCGUUCUGUAAGCCUGUGAAGGUGUGUCGUGAGGCAUGCUGGAGGUAUCAGAAGUGCGAAUGCUGACAUAAGUAACGAUAAAGCGGGUGAAAAGCCCGCUCGCCGGAAGACCAAGGGUUCCUGUCCAACGUUAAUCGGGG